AUGGGCGGAUCCGACGCAGCCCCAGCCGCAAGGGACGACGCCCAGGUCGUGGUGGUUGUGGGAUCCCCCGUCGACGGCCCCCCCGCCCCCUCCGCCUCCGACCUCCCUCUCGCUGCCUCCGCGCCGGCCUCCACGCCACCGGCGCCGGAGGAGGCGGAAGCUAAGCGGGAGCUCUCGGCGGCUGCUCCGGCCGAGAGUUUAGUGGUGGAAGGUAAGCAGGUGGAGGCGGCGGCGGCGGCGGCGCAGGCCAUGGCGGUCACCGUGGUGCGGGACGUCGAGGCGGGCCCCGAAGCGAGCACCAGCGGCGUGGCCGACGAGAAGCCCUCCUGGUUCACCCCGAAGAGAUUACUUGUGAUGUUCUGCAUAAUCAACAUGCUAAAUUAUGUUGACCGGGGAGUAAUAGCAAGUAAUGGUGUCAAUGGCAGCCGUGGCAGUUGUUCUGGUGGCACAUGCUCAUCAGGUUCUGGAAUUCAGGGUGAUUUUAAUCUGAGCAAUUUUGAAGAUGGCGUGUUGUCCUCGGCAUUUAUGGUAGGGUUGUUGGUGGCUUCCCCGAUAUUUGCGUCAUUGGCAAAAAUACACAAUCCUUUCAGGCUUAUUGGCGUCGGAUUGUUAGUCUGGACUAUUGCAACAGCUGGCUGUGGGUGCGCGUUUGAUUUCUGGUCAAUUACUGUAUGUCGCAUGUUAGUUGGUGUUGGUGAAGCUUCGUUUAUAAGUCUCGCAGCUCCUUUCAUUGAUGACAAUGCACCAGCAGCACAGAAAACUGCAUGGCUUGCUAUGUUCUACAUGUGUAUACCCACUGGGAUAGCACUGGGUUAUGUUUAUGGUGGGUUGGUUGGGGGUCAUCUGCACUGGCGUGCUGCUUUCUGGGGAGAGUCAAUUUUGAUGCUUCCCUUUGUCAUUCUGGGCUUUGUGAUAAAGCCACUAGAGCUCAAAGGAUUUACUCACAACAAAAAGACAAAAGAGUAUGGUCAAAUGCUCAGUCCGGAGCUUCAAGAUGAGACAAAUAAUAAUGGAAUAAAGCAGGGUGUGCCUGCUGUAGUUGAGGGCCUUGCAGAAAAGUCUUCCCUCUCCAGUUUCGGGAAGAAAGUUAUGAUUGAAAUCCAUCAUUUUGGGGUAGAUAUGAAAGAAUUGCUACAAGAGAAAGUCUAUGUUUUCAAUGUGGCUGGUUACAUCUUUUACAACGCUGUCAUUGGUGCCUAUUCAUAUUGGGGCCCCAAGGCUGGUCAGGAUAUCUACCACAUGGCCAGUGCAGAUCUAAUGUUUGGCGGAAUAACAAUAGUGUGUGGAAUAGUUGGAACCCUUGCAGGGGGUUUCAUCCUUGACAAGAUGGACUCUACAAUUUCUAAUGCUUUCAAGCUUCUUUCUGGCGCAACUUUCCUCGGGGCAAUAUUUUGUUUCAGUGCCUUUUGUUUCAAGAGCCUUUAUGGAUUCAUACCCUUCUUUUCAGUGGGGGAGCUAUUGGUUUUUGCAACUCAGGCUCCAGUAAACUACAUAUGCCUUCAUUGUGUGAAACCAAGUUUGCGGCCAUUAUCAAUGGCUAUGUCUACUGUUUCGAUACAUAUAUUCGGUGAUGUGCCUUCUUCACCCAUCGUUGGGGCUCUUCAGGACUAUCUCCAUAACUGGAGAUCAACUGCGCUUUUAUUGACAUCCGUCCUCUUUAUUGCGUUUGGAUUUUGGUUUACCGCCAUAUUUUUCCGCAGCGUUGAUCGUUCGAAUGAGCAGAGCGAGCAUGAUGUUCCUGCCACUGAGAGAUCAAACCUCAGGCCAUUGCUUGAUGAUGGAAACGAUGAAGCGCACACUUCUCAAUGA
Molecule: ribosomal RNA, 1809 nt
Filed under: Triticum aestivum (bread wheat)
Lineage: Eukaryota; Viridiplantae; Streptophyta; Magnoliopsida; Poales; Poaceae
Description: partial small subunit ribosomal RNA
Source: RNAcentral